UGUGUUACUUUAAUUCGUCUUUAUUACUGAGGCUGUAGGUUGCAGAGGUCUUGUACUGGACUGCAUUAUACUGAGAGGUGUUUCCAUUUUU
This is a long non-coding RNA of Myripristis murdjan (pinecone soldierfish), 91 nucleotides long. RefSeq lists it as uncharacterized. NCBI's taxonomy places the organism in Eukaryota, Metazoa, Chordata, Actinopteri, Holocentriformes, Holocentridae. The transcript is spliced from 3 exons. The record is from RefSeq and is a predicted model, not a curated record.